RNAcentral lists this ribosomal RNA (710 nucleotides) under Stolotermes victoriensis. Its description in RNAcentral is "12S ribosomal RNA". The stretch from base 286 to 700 matches the Rfam family "Microsporidia small subunit ribosomal RNA", at positions 752 to 1303 of the family's 1311-position model. The record is from RNAcentral. Lineage: Eukaryota; Metazoa; Arthropoda; Insecta; Blattodea; Termopsidae.
UUCGCAUUAUUUAUUUUUGUAUAUUAAGGUCACUUAGAUUUAGUAUUAUGUUUUAGUAUUGGUUAAAUUUGUGCCAGCAGCCGCGGUUAUACAUAGAGUGCGUUUGAGUAUUUUUGGUUGGCAGUUUUAGUUUGGUUAAAUUGUGUAGGGUCACAUUGUUUAUUGUUAUGUGGUGGAAUUGUUUAUUUUUGGUUAUGUCUUUUUUAUUAUUUUGUAGGCUGUGAAAUCUUUGGUGGAGACUAGGAUUAGAUACCCUAUUAUUUUAGAUGUUAAUUUUUAUGGCCUGAGUAGUAUUAGUUAUGUUCUUGAAACUUAAAGAAUUUGGCGGUAUCUCAUUCCUUUCAGAGGAAUCUGUCUCGUUAUCGAUAGUCCGCGUUGGACCUUGCUUGAUUUUUUUUGUUUGUAUACCGCCGUUAGUGAUGAUGAUCUUUUUAGGGUUAAUAAUUUUCUUGACUUUUUAUUUAGUUUUAUUUCAGGUCAAGGUGCAGCUUUUUGAUUAAGUUGAUGAUGGAUUACAUUUAUUUUUGGUAUUUGGAUUAUUGAUUGUAAUUUUGAUGUGAAAUUGGAUUUGAUUGUAAUUUUUUGAAGAUUGUAUUAAUGAUUUAUGGUUCUGGGAUAUGCACACAUCGCCCGUCGCUCUCAUUGUUUAUUGGAGGUGAGAUAAGUCGUAACAAAGUGGCUGUACCGGAAGGUGUAGCUGGAGUGUUUAU